This is a long non-coding RNA of Pyrus x bretschneideri (Chinese white pear), 1080 nucleotides long. RefSeq lists it as uncharacterized. The transcript is spliced from 4 exons. The record is from RefSeq and is a predicted model, not a curated record. Lineage: Eukaryota; Viridiplantae; Streptophyta; Magnoliopsida; Rosales; Rosaceae.
GUCCCGAAAUAACAUUUUCAUAUGUGUGAAGUGUGUUUAAUUACCCUAAAUCUUUUUUUUAAAGUUGGAUGAAAGAGGCGUUUUCGGCCGUUUAUGAUGAUUAAGAAUGAUUAAGUUUCACUGUGCACACACGGAUUGCACAGGAAACCUUACCUUUUCUUUUUUUUCUUUUCCGUGAUUUCCUCUCAUCUGUCCCUCACUCUCUCUUUUUCCCUCAGCUCCUUCAAACUCACUCAACUCUCAUCUCUCCCGUCAAGCUCAAGCUCUCAUUCUCUUUCUCUCUCAAAAACCCACGGCCAAAACAACAAGUUCAUCAAAACUUCACAGAUCGACGAAACAAAAAUCACCAUCUUCUUCGUUUCGACGAUACGAGUCCAACCAUACCAAUUUCAGGACUUUUCAAGCUUAUAGGAAGCUUCUUGAGGUCCUAAGGAGGCUUGGAGUAGUUCGUUGGAAGUGUUUGGAUGUAAGAACACGGAGAACGACAAGUUCAAAGUUUGGCCGGAGCUUUCAGGGCUUUUUCUGGUGAAUCCACGCCGAGUUAGGGGUCAAGGUAGGUAUGGAUGUGUUCUUCUCGUCAAUACCUUCAUUUUGAUAUAAAGUACGUCGAAAAUGGUUAAGAAAUGAAGAAGUUAUGACACUUUGAAGUUUACCCAGAAAUUCCGGCAAAACACCCACAUCCGGCGAAACCAGUCCGGCGACGCGAGGAAGAAGACGCGCGCGUGGGCAGCGCGUAGAAGUGGCGCGUGAGGGCGCGUGAGAGACCCAAAUCAAGUUCUGAAAAUUGUCACGUGUUCGUGACGUCGUGUAGAUCACCGUGGUGAAAAUUAUACAGACGAAGAACGUAACCAAUCUAGGCGAGGAGGUUACGAACCGGCUACUUAUCAGUUCUAGGUAGCGUAUAUCGGUGAGUCUCGAGGUGUCCAGCUGAAAGUUCUGACAAACCACCAGUCAUGUAGGAUCAUCGUCGAGUGUUGUUAAAUAUGUACAUCUUAUGUUUGACUGCACUUAGACAUUGUGCUCUGGUUGUGUAAUCACACUUAAACUUUCAUUAGAACCUAUCGUAUUUGGUUUUAAUUA